RNAcentral lists this ribosomal RNA (254 nucleotides) under uncultured bacterium. RNAcentral describes it as "partial 16S ribosomal RNA". It matches the Rfam family "Bacterial small subunit ribosomal RNA", at positions 524 to 776 of the family's 1533-position model. The record is from RNAcentral.
UACGUAGGGGGCGAGCGUUGUCCGGAUUCAUUGGGCGUAAAGAGCUCGUAGGCGGUUUGAUAAGUCGGGUGUGAAAUCUCCAGGCUCAACCUGGAGAGGUCACUCGAGACUGUUAUGACUAGAGUCCGGUAGGGGACCACGGAAUUCCUGGUGUAGCGGUGAAAUGCGCAGAUAUCAGGAGGAACACCAGUGGCGAAGGCGGUGGUCUGGGCCGGAACUGACGCUGAGGAGCGAAAGCGUGGGGAGCGAACAGG